UACGGAGGGAGCUAGCGUUGUUCGGAAUUACUGGGCGUAAAGCGCACGUAGGCGGCCCAGCAAGCGGGGAGUGAAAGCCCUCGGCUUAACCGAGGAAGUGCUUUCCGAACUACUGGGCUUGAAUACUGGAGAGGGUCGCGGAAUUCCCGGUGUAGAGGUGAAAUUCGUAGAUAUCGGGAGGAACACCAGUGGCGAAGGCGGCGACCUGGACAGAUAUUGACGCUGAGGUGCGAAAGCGUGGGGAGCAAACAGGAUUG
Molecule: ribosomal RNA, 257 nt
Filed under: uncultured bacterium
Lineage: Bacteria
Description: partial 16S ribosomal RNA
Rfam family: Bacterial small subunit ribosomal RNA
Source: RNAcentral